RNAcentral lists this ribosomal RNA (940 nucleotides) under marine metagenome. Its description in RNAcentral is "bacterial SSU rRNA". It matches the Rfam family "Bacterial small subunit ribosomal RNA", at positions 8 to 940 of the family's 1533-position model. The record is from RNAcentral.
AGAGUUUGAUCCUGGCUCAGGAUGAACGCUAGCGGCAAGCUUAACACAUGCAAGUCGAACGGUAACUUUUAGUGCUUGCACUGAAAGACGAGUGGCGGACGGGUGCGUAACGCGUAUGCAAUCUACCUUUUACUAGGGUAUAGCCCAGAGAAAUUUGGAUUAAUCCCCUAUAAUAUCAUGAAAUCGCAUGGUUUUAUGAUUAAAGCUUCGGCGGUAAAAGAUGAGCAUGCGUCCUAUUAGUUUGUAGGUGAGGUAACGGCUCACCUAGACUACGAUAGGUAGGGGCCCUGAGAGGGGGAUCCCCCACACUGGUACUGAGACACGGACCAGACUCCUACGGGAGGCAGCAGUGAGGAAUAUUGGACAAUGGACGAAAGUCUGAUCCAGCUAUGCCGCGUGCAGGAUGACAGCCCUACGGGUUGUAAACUGCUUUUAUACAGGAAGAAACACCCCGACGUGUCGGGGCUUGACGGUACUGUAAGAAUAAGGAUCGGCUAACUCCGUGCCAGCAGCCGCGGUAAUACGGAGGAUCCAAGCGUUAUCCGGAAUUAUUGGGUUUAAAGGGUCCGCAGGCGGUUUUUUAAGUCAGAGGUGAAAUCCUGCAGCUCAACUGUAGAAUUGCCUUUGAAACUGAAAGACUUGAGUUAUUGUGAAGUGGUUAGAAUGUGUGGUGUAGCGGUGAAAUGCAUAGAUAUCACACAGAAUACCAAUUGCGAAGGCAGAUCACUAACAAUUAACUGACGCUCAGGGACGAAAGCGUGGGUAGCGAACAGGAUUAGAUACCCUGGUAGUCCACGCCGUAAACGAUGGAUACUAGCUGUAUGUCUACCUCAGGUAGAUGUGUGGCCAAGCGAAAGUGAUAAGUAUCCCACCUGGGGAGUACGAUCGCAAGAUUGAAACUCAAAGGAAUUGACGGGGGCCCGCACAAGCGGUGGAGCAU